UUCAUCAUCGAUGAGAACGCAGCCAGCUGCGAUAAGUAAUGUGAAUUGCAGAACUCAGCGAAUCAUCGAAUCUUUGAACGCAAAUGGCGCUCCUUGGUCUCCCAAGGAGCAUGUCUGUCUGAGCGUCAUGACAAUACACACGUACCCACAAGGUGCGGCGUUGAGACUCCGUGGCCGGCCAGCUUCACUGUUGGUGCUGCGUGUCUUGAAAUCGAGUGAAAUAACCCGGCUAGCUCUCUCUCUAUCGGGGCAGCGAAAAGUUCAACUUGUGUCUGCCUUGCAUAGCUGAGCAGAGCUUGCCACUUCUGAUUUUGACCUCAGAUCAGGCAAGACUACCCGCUGAAUUUAAGCAUAUCA
The sequence is a ribosomal RNA, 357 nucleotides long. The stretch from base 6 to 128 matches the Rfam family "5.8S ribosomal RNA", at positions 31 to 154 of the family's 154-position model.